Potamilus streckersoni is the source of this 74-nucleotide non-coding RNA. Lineage: Eukaryota; Metazoa; Mollusca; Bivalvia; Unionida; Unionidae. The record is from the annotation of a GenBank genome assembly.
UGCUCUGGUGGCCUAAUGGUUAGAGCAUCUGCCUCAAAAGCAGGAGUUCAUGGGUUCAAACCCCAGCUGAGUCA